UUUGCAGAUUUAAAAAAACAAAAUAAUAAAUAAUAAAAAAGAACUUGUGAUUAUAGACGUUUCAGUAUCGGGGUCGGUGCUGUGGGACUCUCUAAGCUUCACUUGGAGAGCUGAAAGAACCAAGGCAUUGACUCAGGCAUAGCUAAUGAAUUACUUCCAACCUUCAAGGAACAAACCCAAAUAUCUAUGAUAGCAAGAUAACAUCCACUGUGUUAUUGCUAGAAGCAUGCUUCAGUCUCAUCUACACGCCGAAUAAACAGCUCUGGCCUCUUUGCAAUGUUACAAACAUUUUGUGUCACUCAUUCUGCCAUGGAAAAGACUCUCCUGACCAUGUCUAAGUUUUCUCUUGGGGAGGUGAUUUCAGUGUGGAUCUCAGCGCUGUCUCAGAUACUGGUGAUGACCGAUUUCCUUGUCUCCCAGAGCCAGUUUUCACAUCCUUGCUUUAGCAUCUGAGACAGGAGCAGCUCACCUGCCCUUCCAGCCCUCUGGCAGAGGCAAAGCUCAGCAAGAUCAUGAUUGUUUCCCUGGUCCACGUAUUCUGCCAGCGUAGCUCGUGCCCAGCUCCAGCUUUGGGUUUUACAGGAUCGCUGUUCUCAAAAUACACACACUCUGUGGCCAAGGAUGAGUCAGAGGGAUGCUGUCAGUGGUGUGCUGGGUGGUACCGGUUAGUCCUUGUUUGUGGGAGUCCGUGAGCAAUUAAAGAAAGAAAAAUGUAAUUAAUGCCAAUCCGCAUGAGUUCAUGGAAAAUAGAAUGUGAUGUCUCCCUUUUAUUUAGUUGAUAGAAGUGAUAGUGGUGUACAAGACGGUGUGCAAGUGAGACAUUUGACUGGAGACCACGUGGCAUUUUGAUUAAGGAUCUAGAGCAGUAUAAAAUGAAGAGGGUGUGCAUUAAAUGGAUUAAAACCUGGCUCCCUGACAGGUCUCCAAAUAUAACUGUAAAUCAUCUGCCAGCUGUGUUUGUAGCAAAGUCCCUCCAGUAUUCUGACAUUUAAUAUCUUCAUCAAUGACAUGGGAGAAGAUGUAAAAUCACCGAUGAUGUGGUCUGCUGAUGAUCAGGGAAGUGGUAAAUAACGAAGAGGGGAGGUCACUGAUAAGGAGGAAUAGGAGAGCGCUUGGGGAACCAGGAUCAAGCGAAGCACAAAUAUGGUGAUGCAGGUGAAUGCAAGAACAAAGAAUAAGAGCUACAUUUGUAGGACAGUGCACUCUAGCAAGCAGAAUGAUGAAGCAGCUACUUCAGUGGCAAAAGUCAGCUGAAUGGAUGUCCCAGCGCUGGGCCGUGAAUGAGCAGGAGGAUACCUGGAGGCAGAAAUAGCCGAACAGAGUCUCUCAUUCAUUUGCUGCUGAUGGAAGUGUUGCUGUAGUGAGUAAAAAUAUCAAUAUAUUGGAGAAGGUUCAGGGAAGAGCCAGGAAAGCUUUGGAAGGGUGGCAAAGCCCUGAGUGACCCCGUGUGUUGAGCCACCAGAGCUAAGCUGAGCAUAGAGUUGGUCCCAGUUUGCAGAUGUGGGGAGUGAAGUAGAUAUUAGGUUGUGGGGUUUUUUUUUGUCUUGCAGACCCUGUGCAGCAACUGGAAGCUGAGUGUGGAGGCAUAAAAAUGGAGAGAAAGGCUUCAGCUUUUAGCUUCAAGGAGCGUGCUCCGUCAGGAGUUAACUUGUGUCAUCUGGGAGCUUUGACCAGGCUCAGUAACUCCCGUCAUACCUGCUUGCAGAGAAUCAGCAUCUCGGAAGGAUGGAACCACCAUUGCUAUGCUGGCAUAGCCAGGCUGGUGACUGACAUCUACAUGGGCUGGGAAGGAAAACACCAACAACCUGUUGGAUCUGUUUCGGCUGGUUCCCUACCAGAGUGGAGACACCGGAGCUGCAGGGAAGAGGCUGCCUGGGAAGUCAGAUGAGGGCAGAAAGCAUCAGUUGUUCCAGGAAAGAACCCGUCCUUGCACAUUUCCUCGUGUUUGGGCUUCAGUGUUGGACUGCAAGCUCUGCGAUGAGGAAAGAGAAAAAGAAAACACCCCCCAUCUUGCUGAGCCCCAGCAGGGUGAGCAAAGGGAAAAGGUGCUUCAGGGCAGGAAGAAACUGUGAAGAAAUAGGUUUGCAAACUCAUAUUGAAUUGUUUGGAAAAUUGUCCUGAGAGCUGCCUUUUGGGGACAGCUGUCCAGCUCUGAAGAGGGAGCAUAGAAGGGCAUGUGUGGGGGGAAGCUGUCUGGGGCUCUGGGGCUGGGACAGGAUUCAGGUUGUUGUCAUCUCUGGCGGCACUUUGGGUCUCGGCAGUGCCAUUUUUCCAGGGAGGGUGAGGAGAGACCAGGUGGGCAGAGGAAAGGCUCCAAGAAAUCCUCCUUCCCCAUAGGAGCAACAUCUCCAAUGAUGGGACCCAAAGGAAUGGUAGGAAAAUGUGCCAGGGCAGGGUCAGUUGUACAUGAGGAAAAGGUUCUUCACCCAGAGGUGCUGGACGCUGGAACAGGCUCCCCAGGGAGGUGUCACAGCCGCAAGCCUGACAGCGUUCAAGAAGAGACUGGACAACGUACUCAGACACAUGGUGUGACCUGUGGGGUUGUCUUGUGCAGGGACAGGAGUUGGACUCGAUGAUCCUUGUGGGUCCUUCCAACCCAGGACAUUCUGUGAUCUCCUUCUGCAACAGGAGAGGUCCCAGUUGCCAGAACCAGUCCAGGCAGGCAGCAGGGUGGAAAAGGAUGGACAAUUGGUGUUGUCACCUCUGGGCCCCCUCCCUGCGGGUAAUCUGGAGGUCAUGGCGGUGCUACAAUGCCCCUGUGCUCAAGGAAAAUGUGUAGAAGGACCCGAGUCUGCGCUUGGAGAUGUGCAUGGGAUGGUGGUACCCAACCUCAGCUCUGAUGCUUGUGAGACUCCCGAGCCACUGGUGGCUGCAGGAAUCAAUAAACGGAGGCUCGGCGAAGAAGGAUGUUGCCCUUAAUGUCCCAAGGGAUAUUGCCCGUGGGUGUAAGGAUGCUGGUGUGGCUCUCCACUGGUGGAACCACAGCCAAUAUCUACUCUGGGCUGUUUAACAGCAGAAACAAAUGCGUCUAUCUCGCCUUGGCUGCACGUGGCAUGCACAGGGGGACUGUUCCUUAUUAGCGCUCGCAGUCGUUGGCAAGAACCGCUGGAACGGAGAUGGAGCUCCAACUGCUAUUCCUGCCUGUCCUCCUCCACUUGUGCUCACAUCUUUCUCAGACUCUUUCCUUUUGGGUUGAAAUUUUCCAUGUUUCGUGUCCACCCGGUGACAGUUUUUUGCUGAAGGUAUCGACUGUGCUGGUUGGAGUCCUCUCUGUGGAGCUCCUUGCUGAUCACUGCCCCAUGGUGGAUGUCCGUCUUUCAUGUCUGAGGAGAUGUCAAGCUGAAGAAAAUCUUUAGAGGGUGGAGUCUGAUUUAUUUACUUGUUUAUUUGUUUGGAAAAGUGACUUGAAAGUUUACAUUUCAGUCAACUGGAACUUAAAAGGAAAUCCUUUAUUUAGAUCUCCCCCAGUGGAAAACCAAACAGCCCUGGCAAAAUUGAAGUUUUUCCAUGGAACAUUCAGAUUUUGUGAAAACUACACAUUCUGUUGAAAAAAAUAUUUUGAUCUCUAGUUUUUGCUCUGCUCUACUUUUUUAAGGAAGAUUCAAAAACAUAAAGGUGAAAAUCUUCUACUUCCUACAUCUAUUAGAUGAACUAUUUUUUUUUUAGCAUGACUUCAAUUCCAUCUCCUUAGCGAGGAGGCCAGAAAAAAUAUUCAGCUUAAGGAAAAGCAUUUUAUCAGUUAUGAAACUGUGAAAGUUUAAAAUUAGUAUCUUAGUGCAAGUAUUGGAUUUGCCGCCUGCCUUUCUGCCUAUCUGGGUCGAGGACGCCCGACUUAGAAACCUGGUGUUAACUUAGUUAAGAGUAUCUCUGGUAGGAGACAUUUGUUUUCUUGGUUUUGUGUUUGUGUUUUGGGGUUUUUUUAAGGACAGUUGAAAUACAGAAAAAUCUGUUUAGGGCUAAAAAUUACCCCUGGGAACAGGGAGAUUUCCAUUCAUGGUGAUUCUGUAACAGUGAUUCCAGGGUUGAAUUUACAGGACUAUUGUGGUUUAAUACAUGCUUUUCCUCUGGAUUUUUGAACUUAAAGACUGUUUUCCUUAGACAGCCUCAUUUUUCUUAGAAAGUGACGAUAACCAAAUACGAAGCUUGACUAGUCAAAUCUUCAAAGGUUAGCAAGUUCCAGUCCAAGGAUUAGUGGCAUUAGAAAACUGAUACAAGGUCAUGGUGCAAAUGCGGAAUUUUCCCCUGUUCCCUUCUCUCCCUCGUUGUGGUGGGGCAACUACUUGAAUAUUCAGAAAUUGUCCCCACGAGUAGAUAUUAAUUUGGUACUUUCAGACAUGCACAUACAUGUACGAAAUCGGUGUAGUCUAUGCCCUGAAGAGAUGAAAUAGUUCCUUGAAUGCGCAAUGCAUUCAAAAUGGCUAAUUUG
Long non-coding RNA from Columba livia (rock pigeon), 4426 nucleotides. RefSeq lists it as uncharacterized. The transcript has 3 exons. NCBI's taxonomy places the organism in Eukaryota, Metazoa, Chordata, Aves, Columbiformes, Columbidae. The record is from RefSeq and is a predicted model, not a curated record.